Molecule: ribosomal RNA, 48 nt
Filed under: Goodenia ovata
Lineage: Eukaryota; Viridiplantae; Streptophyta; Magnoliopsida; Asterales; Goodeniaceae
Also listed under: 2 other names
Description: partial 18S small subunit ribosomal RNA
Rfam family: Eukaryotic small subunit ribosomal RNA
Source: RNAcentral
AGAAGUUGUAACAAGGUUUCCGUAGGUGAACCUGCGGAAGGAUCAUUG